RNAcentral lists this ribosomal RNA (460 nucleotides) under uncultured bacterium. RNAcentral describes it as "partial 16S ribosomal RNA". It matches the Rfam family "Bacterial small subunit ribosomal RNA", at positions 338 to 795 of the family's 1533-position model. The record is from RNAcentral.
CCUACGGGAGGCAGCAGUGAGGAAUAUUGGUCAAUGGACGAGAGUCUGAACCAGCCAAGUAGCGUGAAGGAUGACUGCCCUAUGGGUUGUAAACUUCUUUUAUAAAGGAAUAAAACGAGGCACGUGUGCCUUUUUGCAUGUACUUUAUGAAUAAGGAUCGGCUAACUCUGUGCCAGCAGCCGCGGUAAUACGGAGGAUCCGAGCGUUAUCCGGAUUUAUUGGGUUUAAAGGGAGCGUAGAUGGGUUGUUAAGUCAGUUGUGAAAGUUUGCGGCUCAACCGUAAAAUUGCAAUUGAUACUGGCAGUCGUGAGUACAGUUGAGGUAGGCGGAAUUAGUGGUGUAGCGGUGAAAUGCUUAGAUAUCACGAAGAACCCCGAUUGCGAAGGCAGCUUACUAAACUGUGACUGACAUUGAUGCUCGAAAGUGUGGGUAUCAAACAGGAUUAGAUACCCUAGUAGUC